UAGGUGGUUUAUUAANUCAGAUGUGAAAGCCCUGGGCUCNNCNUAGGAACUGCNUUGAANCUGGUAAACUAGAGUAUAGGAGAGGAAAGUGGAAUUUCAGGUGUAGCGGUGAAAUGCGUAGAUAUCUGAAGGAACAUCAAUGGCGAAGGCAGCUUUCUGGACUAAUACUGACACUGAGGUACGAAAGCGUGGGUAGCAAACAGGAUUAGAUACCCUGGUAGUCCACGCCGUAAACGAUGAUAACUAGCCGUUGGGAGGAUUUACCUCUUAGUGGCGAAGCUAACGCGUUAAGUUAUCCGCCUGGGGAGUACGGCCGCAAGGUUAAAACUCAAAGGAAUUGACGGGGACCCGCACAAGCGGUGGAGCAUGUGGUUUAAUUCGAUGCAACGCGAAGAACCUUACCUGGUCUUGACAUACAGAGAACUUUCCAGAGAUGGAUUGGUGCCUUCGGGAACUCUGAUACAGGUGCUGCAUGGCUGUCGUCAGCUCGUGUCGUGAGAUGUUGGGUUAAGUCCCGUAACGAGCGCAACCCUUAUCUUUAUUUGCCAGCACAUCAUGGUGGGAACUAUAAAGAGACUGCCGGUGAUAAACCGGAGGAAGGCGGGGACGACGUCAAGUCAUCAUGGCCCUUACGACCAGGGCUACACACGUGCUACAAUGGGAAGGACAAAGGGUUGCUAAGCCGCGAGGUGGUGCUAAUCUCAUAAACCUUCUCGUAGUCCGGAUCGGAGUCUGCAACUCGACUCCGUGAAGUCGGAAUCGCUAGUAAUCGUGGAUCAGAACGCCACGGUGAAUACGUUCCCGGGUCUUGUACACACCGCCCGUCAUACCAUGGGAGUGGGUUGCAAAAGAAGUGGGUAGCUUAUCUGGGCGCUCACCACUUUGUGAUUCAUGACUGGGGUAAAGUCGUAACAAGGUA
Molecule: ribosomal RNA, 919 nt
Filed under: Mytilidae sp. morphotype BC 288 gill symbiont
Lineage: Bacteria; Pseudomonadati; Pseudomonadota; Gammaproteobacteria
Description: bacterial SSU rRNA
Rfam family: Bacterial small subunit ribosomal RNA
Source: RNAcentral